RNAcentral lists this ribosomal RNA (2420 nucleotides) under Plenodomus biglobosus/Leptosphaeria biglobosa 'brassicae' group. RNAcentral describes it as "eukaryotic LSU rRNA". It matches the Rfam family "Eukaryotic large subunit ribosomal RNA", at positions 388 to 2849 of the family's 3401-position model. The record is from RNAcentral. Lineage: Eukaryota; Fungi; Ascomycota; Dothideomycetes; Pleosporales; Leptosphaeriaceae.
UUAAAUAGCACGUAAAAUUGUUAAAAGGGAAGCGCUUAUAGCUAGACUUGCCUAUAGUUACUUAUCUAGGCUUUUGCCUAGUGCACUCUUCUAUAGGCAGGCUAGUAUUAGUUUAGGUAGUUAGAUAAAGGUCUCUAUUACGUACCUCUCUUUAGGGAGGCCUUAUAGGGGAGACGACAUGUAACUAGCCUAGACUAAGGUCCGCGUAUUUGCUAGGAUGCUAGCGUAAUAGCUAUAAGCGGCCCGUCUUAAAACACGGACUAAGGAGUCUAAUAUCUAUGCGAGUAUUUAGGUGUUAAGCCUAAACGCGUAAUAAAAGUAAACGGAGGUAGGAACCCUUUAGGGCGUACUAUUAACUAAUCCUAAUAUCUUUAGAAGGAUUUAAGUAAGAGCAUAGCUGUUAGGACCUAAAAGAUAGUGAACUAUGCUUAAAUAGGGUAAAGCUAGAGGAAACUCUAGUAGAGGCUUGCAGCGGUUCUAACGUGCAAAUUAAUCGUUAAAUUUAGGUAUAGGGGCGAAAGACUAAUUAAACUAUCUAGUAGCUAGUUCCUACUAAAGUUUCCCUUAGGAUAGCAGUAACGUAUUUAGUUUUAUAAGGUAAAGCGAAUAAUUAGAGGCCUAGGGGUUAAAACAACCUUUACCUAUUCUUAAACUUUAAAUAUGUAAGAAGUCCUUAUUACUUAAUUAAACGUAGACACUUAAAUAUACUAUUACUAGUAGGCUAUUUUUAGUAAGUAGAACUAGCGAUGCGGGAUAAACUAAACGCGGGGUUAAGGUGCUAGAAUGCACGCUUAUUAGAUACUACAAAAGGUGUUAGUUUAUCUAGAUAGCAGGACGGUGGCCAUAGAAGUUAGAAUCCGCUAAGGAGUAUAUAAUAACUUACCUACUAAAUAAACUAGCCCUAAAAAUAGAUAGCGCUUAAGCGUGUUACCUAUACCCCGCUGCUAGGGCAAGAUUUAAGCCCUAGCGAGUAGGCAGGCGUAGAGGCUUGUAACGAAGCCUUAGGGGUAACCCUAGGUAGAACGGCCUCUAGUGUAGAUCUUAGUGGUAGUAGCAAAUACUUAAAUAAGAACUUUAAGGACUAAAGUAGGGAAAGGUUCCGUGUAAACAGUAGUUAGACACGGGUUAGUUAAUCCUAAGAGAUAGGGUAAUUCUGUUUUAAUGUUAGCGCUUGCGCCGCGCCCUUAAAAGGGAAGCUAGUUAAUAUUCUAGUACCUAGAUAUAGAUUCUCUACAGCAACGCAACUAAGAGCGGAGACCUUAGCGGGAGCCCUAAGAAGAGUUCUCUUUUCUUCUUAACAGUCUAUCACCCUAAAAUCAGUUUGUCUGGAGCUAGGGUUUAAUAGCUAGAAGAGCGCUGCACUUUUACGGCGUUUAGUGCGCUCCUAACAAGCCUUAAAAAUCCGCUUAAAGAAAUAGUUUUUACGCUAGGUUAUACUUAUAACCGUAGUAGGUCUCUAAGGUAAAAAGCCUCUAGUUAAUAGAAUAAUAUAGAUAAGGGAAGUUAGCAAAAUAGAUCUGUAACUUUGGGAAAAGGAUUAGCUCUAAGGGUUAGGUACGUUAGGCCUUAGGGAAAAGCCUCUAGCGCAGAAGGGCACUAGCUGCAAGGUAGGCGCCUUUUAGCGCUAGGGUGCGGACACCCUUAGCAGGCUUCGGCCGUCCAGCGUACGUUUAACAACUAACUUAGAACUAGUACGGACAAGGGGAAUCUAACUAUCUAAUUAAAAUAUAGCAUUACAAUAGCUAGAAAGUAGUGUUAACGUAAUAUAAUUUCUGCCUAGUGCUCUAAAUGUUAAAGCAAAGAGAUUUAACUAAGCGUGGGUAAACGGCGGGAGUAACUAUAACUCUCUUAAGGUAGCUAAAUGCCUUGUUAUCUAAUUAGUAACGCGUAUAAAUAGAUUAACGAGAUUCCUACUGUCCCUAUCUACUAUCUAGCAAAACUAUAGCUAAGGGAAUAGGCUUAGCUAAAUUAGCGGGGAAAGAAGACCCUAUUAAGCUUAACUCUAGUUUAAUAUUGUAAAAAGAUAUAGGGGGUGUAGAAUAGGUAGGAGCUUUAGCGCUAGUAAAAUACUACUACCCUUAUUGUUUUUUUACUUAUUUAAUAAAGCGGAGCUAGGCCUUACCGCCUAACUUCUAGCGUUUAAGGUCCUUCGUGGGCUGAUCUAGGUUAAAGACAUUAUUAGGUGGGGAGUUUAGCUAGGGCAGCACAUCUAUUAAACUAUAACGUAGGUGUCCUAAGGGGGACUUAUAGAGAACAGAAAUCUCUAGUAGAGUAAAAGGGUAAAAGUCCCCUUAAUUUUAAUUUUUAGUGUGAAUACAAACUAUAAAAGUGUAGCCUAUUAAUCCUUUAGUCCCUUGAAAUUUAAGGCUAGAGGUGCUAGAAAAGUUACUAUAGGGAUAACUAGCUUGUAGCAGCUAAGU